AAGUCGUAACAAGGUUUCCGUAGGUGAACCUGCGGAAGGAUCAUUAGCGAAGUUCGGAAUGCAUGUUCGAUGUUGAUGCUGCCCAGCAAUGGGAUGUGCUCGCUCGGAUGUGUGUCCCUUCUCUAUCCACCCCAUUGUGAACCAAGUGUGUGAGCCGAAGAGAAAUCGGACGCUCGCAUGCAAACCUUUAACAUACCCCAAUGAAGUAUCAGAAUGUACCUUGCGUUAACUCGCACAAAUAUAACUUUCAACAACGGAUCUCUUGGCUCUC
This 271-nucleotide unclassified non-coding RNA is filed under the name Peniophora albobadia. Its description in RNAcentral is "partial internal transcribed spacer region". The stretch from base 1 to 46 matches the Rfam family "Eukaryotic small subunit ribosomal RNA", at positions 1786 to 1831 of the family's 1831-position model. Lineage: Eukaryota; Fungi; Basidiomycota; Agaricomycetes; Russulales; Peniophoraceae. The record is from RNAcentral.